This is a long non-coding RNA of Rana temporaria (common frog), 652 nucleotides long. RefSeq lists it as uncharacterized. Lineage: Eukaryota; Metazoa; Chordata; Amphibia; Anura; Ranidae. The record is from RefSeq and is a predicted model, not a curated record. The transcript has 3 exons.
GUGCCCCACCUUAUGUAAUUGGUUCUAUGGAAUUAUGUCACUCCAUUUUUACCAAAGAAUGUCUGUCAUAUUUCCAAAAAUUUAAACUGUAAAAAUUAAAUGUUAUUAAUUUAUGUAAACUAACAAUUCACAAUAUUUAUCUUUUAUUUUUAUAUUUUUAUCUACCAUCAAGAUAACAAUAAUUUGAACUCAUAACAACAUAUACAAUGACUACUGAGGAAUCAGAAAUGAAUUUAGAGACAAUAGAUGCGACUCCAUCUACAAGCUUGAGAUCAGCAGAGGAACGGAGGAGAGAUCUUUUACAAAAAUUGUGGUCAAAAUAUCCCACAGUUGAAGAGGACCCAAGCUUUCCCUUUAAUCCGCCAUCGCAACCUUCUUCGGCGUCAAACUCGGAAACAAUUGAAGAACUUACACUUCAAACCCGAUUAGGAAACACUGAUUGGUGUCAAUGUGGUAAUUGUCUGGCUAUGCCCACAGGAAGAGAGUCUUUAUGCUGCAAAGAAAUCGCUAAUGUAAAAGAAAAUAUUGAAGAGGGUACAGUCUGUAUAACCCAAUCUCCCAUUUUUCAAAGUUCGGUUGUAAACAGACUGAAUACAACAGUAAUAUUGACUAUUCUACACCAAUCAACAUCGCAUGCACCAAAUGCAGAUGA